Molecule: long non-coding RNA, 457 nt
Filed under: Capsicum annuum
Lineage: Eukaryota; Viridiplantae; Streptophyta; Magnoliopsida; Solanales; Solanaceae
Description: long non-coding RNA (CANN_LNC013415)
Source: RNAcentral
GAUGAUGCAGUACCAGUCACUUCAACAAUCGUCUCCUUGAUUUCUUCCACCGUCUUAGCACUAUCCUCCUCCUUCGCUGCUACCUUCUCGGUCACUUUCUCCGCCGGAGCUGCAGGUUCACCUUCUUUCUUCUCUUCCACCACAGGUGCAGCUUCUUUCUUCUCUUCCACCACAGGUUCAGCUUCUUUCUUCUCUUCCACCACAGGUUCAGCUUCUUUCUUCACUUCCACCACAGGUACAGCUUCUUUCUUCUCAACAGGUUCAGCUUCUUUCUUCGAUUCCACCACAGGUACAGUUUCUUUCUUCUCCUCCACCACAGGUUCAGCUUCUUUCUUCUCUUCCACCACAAGUGCAGUUUCUUUCUUCUCUUCGACCACAGGUGCAGUGAAUUCAUGUUUGUUCAGAGCAUCUCGAACCAAUUCCUUCAACUCAGCUAAAGCCUUCUGUUCAGGAUUUG